GACGAACGCUGGCGGCGUGCUUAACACAUGCAAGUCGUACGGUAAGGCCCUUUCGGGGGUCCACGAGUGGCGAACGGGUGAGUAACACGUGAGUAACCUGCCCACAACUUUGGGAUAACGCUAGGAAACUGGUGCUAAUACUGGAUAUGUGCUCCUGCUGCAUGGAGGGGGUUGGAAAGCUCCGGCGGUUGUGGAUGGACUCGCGGCCUAUCAGCUUGUUGGUGGGGUAGUGGCCUACCAAGGCGGCGACGGGUAGCCGGCCUGAGAGGGUGACCGGCCACAUUGGGACUGAGAUACGGCCCAGACUCCUACGGGAGGCAGCAGGGGGGAAGAUUGCACAAUGGGCGCAAGCCUGAUGCAGCAACGCCGCGUGCGGGAUGACGGUCUUCGGGUUGUAAACCGCUUUCAGCAGGGACGAAGCUUUUUGUGACGGUACCUGCAGAAGAAGCACCGGCUAACUACGUG
RNAcentral lists this ribosomal RNA (465 nucleotides) under uncultured bacterium. RNAcentral describes it as "partial 16S ribosomal RNA". It matches the Rfam family "Bacterial small subunit ribosomal RNA", at positions 28 to 507 of the family's 1533-position model. The record is from RNAcentral.